AUGACAGGAUCCAACUCGAGUGUACAUGGACAUCAACAUGUGGAAGAUGAUCUCCCAAAAACUCGUGCGGCACUUGGUGAUAUGAUUGAGAAGAGUAUAGUUGCAGCUAUGCGAAGGAUGUUCGGUGGUCAUCUUCCUAUCACAGGUAAUGGGGAUCAACAUCAACAUAGCCCCGCUGCCUCACUGGCCGACGACAACCGGAAACGUCAAGGAAACGUCGUGGAAGAGCGGCAUGAGCUUCUACCCAUGGCGCCCCUGCUGUUGGUGCUGAACGGACGUGUGGCGACUUUGCUGCCCCCCGUGAGGGUGGGCUGCAUCGAGGAGAUGCUCGCAGGCGAGGCCAUGACCACCGCGGGUUUGCUGUUGAUCACCAGCGACGAGCGACACAUGAUGGUGAUUCCAUCUUCCUUGAAGAUCUGUCCGAGCAUGGUGAAUAAGAUGAAGGCAUGGGGGACUAUGAACCCUACUCCCCGCCUUGCCAUGGUGCUAUUUUUGGUUGCAAUGGUCUUCAUUAUGACCGUCGCGAUCAGGAUGACCGUGACAACCAAGCGAGAGUGA
RNAcentral lists this ribosomal RNA (558 nucleotides) under Triticum aestivum (bread wheat). RNAcentral describes it as "partial small subunit ribosomal RNA". The record is from RNAcentral. Lineage: Eukaryota; Viridiplantae; Streptophyta; Magnoliopsida; Poales; Poaceae.